AGGAGGAGGAGGAAGAGGAGGAGGAGGAGGAGGAGGCGACAGCAUUGUGAUGACUCAUGGGCCAUGUAGUCCCGUUCCUAGUACUAUUGUGACAGAUGAAGAGGAAAACUUGGGUUUUCCACCGUUUCAGCCAGAAUUGGAGCCCUUGCACCUGCAAGAUGUUUGGCCACCAGAAGUCAGCCAAACAAGCCCUGAGCAGAAAUCUCCCCCAUUUUCUCGCCGGGAUUAUUAUAAUCAAGAUAGAAGCGCUCGGGAGGCGACUCGCAGGAGCGCCAGGAUAGCUGCCAGACAAUUAGCUGAUUAAGUCUGUUUCCCUUGGGAAACUUUAAGGAGUCAUGCAUCUGGACACAGUAUGGGUUUCGUUUCUUGUUCCCAGGGAAAGUGUUCCUUGGCGGGAAAACAAGAUCCUAUAUAGGUGUUUGUCCGCAAAGAAAUCCUUGCGGAGUCAAUUCGUCAGUUUCUGGAGUGAGAUCGUGUGUAGACUACGCUACUCCAGUUCCUUGUUUCCCGGAUCGAGUUUCCAGCCUUGCCUUGUUUCACGGAUCAAGUUUCCAGCCUUGCCUUGUUUCACGGACUUCUUUGGACUCAGUUCAUGUUUCAUGUUUGCCUCGUUUCAGGUUUUGAUCUAGCCAAGAAUCAAGUCUAUUUUCCUGCCUUGUUGUCAAGCUACUUUGGACCUUAAGGACCCUGUCAUUUCCCCACACUUUGCUUGGCAAAGUGUGUGUUUCGGUUAUUGGAUUAUAACUUUGGACUUUAAUAUCACAUAUUGGACAUUAUUUUCCUGGACUAUAUUUGACCUUUCCUGAAAGGUCUACUUCUGAACUAUAUUCUACACUUGUUUUUAUUGACUUUAUAUAUUUUCUUAAUAAAGAUAUUAGAUAGA
This is a long non-coding RNA of Anolis carolinensis (green anole), 883 nucleotides long. RefSeq lists it as uncharacterized. The transcript is spliced from 2 exons. The record is from RefSeq and is a predicted model, not a curated record. Lineage: Eukaryota; Metazoa; Chordata; Lepidosauria; Squamata; Anolidae.